RNAcentral lists this long non-coding RNA (225 nucleotides) under Vigna radiata. RNAcentral describes it as "long non-coding RNA (VRAD_LNC003902)". The record is from RNAcentral. Lineage: Eukaryota; Viridiplantae; Streptophyta; Magnoliopsida; Fabales; Fabaceae.
ACAUAUGUUCAUGUUACAAUAUCUCCAUAUUACAACCUCUUAAGAAAGCUAUACAAAGUUCACUCAUUUUUUAUUCUAAGCAAUCCUACGUAAGGAGUCCUAAGCGCUCUACUCUUGUAACGCCUUCGUGACCCCAUCCUCACAUAUGUCUUCAUUGGAGGAGGAUCGGUGGAGUGCCCGCAAUCACUGACCAGUGCUCCUUUCUCAAACGUUUGUUCAAACUAG